GGGUAUUUGCAACGUGCCUAAACUAAUAAUAUAAUUAUUAUAAUAAGGUUUCUUAGUUGAAACGUGCAUGAAUGGAAAAAUAAUGUCCCAUCAAAGAUGCUAUCUUUUUCCUUUUCUUGUGAGACAUAAUACUCACCAUUUCACUACCACGUCCUUUUACUUUUCAUUAUUCAAUUCUUUCCCCAAUCCACCAAGCAACCCCUUCUUCUAUUUUUCAACUGCUGCACCUUCC
RNAcentral lists this long non-coding RNA (232 nucleotides) under Vigna radiata. RNAcentral's name for it is "long non-coding RNA (VRAD_LNC001426)". The record is from RNAcentral. Lineage: Eukaryota; Viridiplantae; Streptophyta; Magnoliopsida; Fabales; Fabaceae.